UGCUAUCGGAUUGAUACUAAGCCAUGCGAGUCAUUGUAGUAAUACAAGGCAGACGGCUCAGUAACGCGUAGUCACCUAACCUAUGGACGGGGAUAAUCUCGGGAAACUGAGCAUAAUACCCGAUAGAACAUUAUACCUGGAAUGGUUUAUGUUCCAAAUGAUUUAUCGCCGUAGGAUGGGACUGCGGCCUAUCAGUUUGUUGGUGAGGUAAUGGCCCACCAAGACUAUUACAGGUACGGGCUCUGAGAGGAGUAGCCCGGAGAUGGGUACUGAGACACGGACCCAGGCCCUAUGGGGCGCAGCAGGCGAGAAAACUUUGCAAUGUGCGAAAGCACGACAAGGUUAAUCCGAGUGGUUUCUGCUAAAGGAACCUUUUGACAGUCCUAGAAACACUGUUGAAUAAGGGGUGGGCAAGUUCUGGUGUCAGCCGCCGCGGUAAAACCAGCACCUCAAGUGGUCAGGAUGAUUAUUGGGCCUAAAGCAUCCGUAGCCGGCUCUGUAAGUUUUCGGUUAAAUCUGUACGCUCAACGUACAGGCUGCCGGGAAUACUGCAGAGCUAGGGAGUGGGAGAGGUAGACGGUACUCGGUAGGAAGGGGGUAAAAUCCUUUGAUCUAUUGAUGACCCCUGUGGCGAAGGCGGGUCUACCAGAACACGUCCGACGGUGAGGGAUGAAAGCUGGGGGAGCAAACCGGAUUAGAUACCCGGGUAGGCCCAGCUGUAAACUAUGCAAACUCG
Molecule: ribosomal RNA, 736 nt
Filed under: uncultured marine archaeon
Lineage: Archaea
Description: bacterial SSU rRNA
Rfam family: Archaeal small subunit ribosomal RNA
Source: RNAcentral